CCUACGGGAGGCAGCAGUGAGGAAUAUUGGUCAAUGGACGAGAGUCUGAACCAGCCAAGUAGCGUGAAGGAUGACUGCCCUAUGGGUUGUAAACUUCUUUUAUAUGGGAAUAAAAUGUUCCACGUGUGGGAUUUUGUAUGUACCAUAUGAAUAAGGCUCGGCUAACUCCGUGCCAGCAGCCGCGGUAAUACGGAGGAACCGAGCGUUAUCCGGAUUUAUUGGGUUUAAAGGGAGCGUAGGUGGAUUGUUAAGUCAGUUGUGAAAGUUUGCGGCUCAACCGUAAAAUUGCAGUUGAAACUGGCAGUCUUGAGUACAGUAGAGGUGAGCGGAAUUCGUGGUGUAGCGGUGAAAUGCUUAGAUAUCACGAAGAACUCCGAUUGCGAAGGCAGUUCACUGGACUGCAACUGACACUGAGGCUCGAAAGUGUGGGUAUCAAACAGGAUUAGAUACCCCAGUAGUC
This 460-nucleotide ribosomal RNA is filed under the name uncultured bacterium. RNAcentral describes it as "partial 16S ribosomal RNA". It matches the Rfam family "Bacterial small subunit ribosomal RNA", at positions 338 to 795 of the family's 1533-position model. The record is from RNAcentral.